RNAcentral lists this transfer RNA (75 nucleotides) under Candidatus Dojkabacteria bacterium. RNAcentral's name for it is "tRNA-Asn". It matches the Rfam family "tRNA". Rfam says of the family: Transfer RNA (tRNA) molecules are approximately 80 nucleotides in length. The record is from RNAcentral.
UGGCCAGUAGCACAAUGGUAGUGCAAUCCGCUGUUAACGGAUAGGUUCUAGGUUCGAGUCCUAGCUGGCCAGCCA